This is a long non-coding RNA of Passer domesticus (house sparrow), 2762 nucleotides long. RefSeq lists it as uncharacterized. NCBI's taxonomy places the organism in Eukaryota, Metazoa, Chordata, Aves, Passeriformes, Passeridae. The record is from RefSeq and is a predicted model, not a curated record. The transcript has 3 exons.
UCUGUCCCCCUCCACCCUUCCUACCUAGCAUUUCCCCCGCCGGAAAAAGGCGGGACAUCCCGGACGAUUAACAGCUUAUCUGACCAACGGAGAUAAAAGGUGGCACUUCUGGGCUCCUCUGGAUGGCCAUGAAUCAGCUGUUACCUCAUCACUCGGGCAUGCUUUGCCAUGAUAUGUGUUAAAACGUCCAAUGUCAUUCUCAGAUCUUUUUCAGACCUCUUCAAAGCAGUGCACAAGACUCCAAGGAUUCAUGGCCAGUGGAUUGAAAAUAGUCCUAGAAAAACACAAUGCCUGUGCUUAUUUUUCUGAAGAUCACUCGUUAGAUUUCCCAUCAGCGCUGUCAGAGGGUGAAAUCUUGGCCCCAGCUGAACUCAACAGGAAUUUUGCCACUGACUUGAAUGGAGCUAAAAUGUCACUCCUGCUAUUUGUCAAGGCAAUUACAUCCAGACAAUACUUUAACAUCUGGCUUCAAGUGAAGACACAGAGCAGUUCACUCCCUCAGUCUCUGAAGACAACACAGGACAUUGGCUAUCUCCAUAAAAAAUGAAACAUUUGUUCUUGGCAAGCUGCUUGUAGUGAAGAGGGGAUCCAUCCAGUGACAUCCAGGAACCAAGCCCCCGUUCCUUAGCCUAUAGUUAUUGGCAAUAGCAUCAAUAGAAUUUCUGUCACUUUCUGGGAAGAAUGUCAAAAGCACCCAUCUACUGUUGCAAGUCAUUCUGUUGUAAAAACUUUGUUUAGAACAGCAGAUCUGGCCUCAUCAUGUGGUUUCUCACAAAUGAGGGGGGUUUUCACCCAGUUCAUCUUCUGUUUCCCUAGCACUGGAAGGUCCCUUGUUAGGUCAGGGAGAAGCAUUUCUAUCUAAACCUUCUCUGAGCAUGGUGGUCAAAGUAAGGCUGAAGGACAACUGAUUAUAGGUGAACAAAUGGUGUGAGCUCAUUUCCCUUUCUAAAAACCCACCUGAGACAAGGCAAUAUUGAUUUAUUGCAAAAUAUAAAGGUUAGGUCAACCUCAAGUGGGGCACACCUUUUCCUCGUAGGAAAAAAUAAAAUCUUAUAUAUAGAACUAUUUGAUCAGUGGUGAUUAAAAAAUCUAUUUGAACGGGAAGAAUCACAGGAUCAUGGAAUGGUUUUGCUUGGAAGAGAUAUUGAAGAUAAUCCAGUUCCAGCCCCAUGCUGUGGGCAGGGACACUUUCCACUAGACCAGGUGGCUUCAAGCCCCAUCCAGCCUGGCCUUGAACACUUCAGAGAUGGGACAUCCAUGACUUCUCUGAGUCAUUGGAUGAUGUCUGGAAGAACAGAGAUGUACAAAGAGAGGGGCUUUGAUGCACCAGGUAGGCAGGGACCUGUUCCCAGCUGGUGAGAUGCUGCACUGCUCACCUGUGCAAAACCAGCUUCCCUUGGUCUCCCUCCAUCCCCUGGGAUGCAAAGCCAAACUCAGUCACCAGCAUCUGAUGAGCCUUAAUUCCCAGCACUUAAAUAAUUAGCUUCUCAAAUGUACAAAAACAACUCUCAUUUUCUGGAUUAAUGAGGGGAGCUGGGUUCCACUGAGCACGGCUAUUAUGGAGCUGCUAAUGCAGCGUUUGAUUCCGUGGCUGCCGCUGAGCACGGCGCGAUCGGCCCCGGGGACAGCAGGAGCACGGGGAGAGCAGCACUGCAGGGCAAAGUGGAAGCCAGCAGGGGAAACCCUGCCAGUGCUUUGUGGGUUUAUGCAGGGGAGGGAUGCUUUUAUUGCUGUGUCUGCCAAGUCUCAUCUGGGUUGAUGAUGAUGCCAUGUAACCCUGAAGCUCAGGCAGGUCCUGAGGGUGGGUAGCUUGUUUUAAUCACAGGCAGGUAGGUUCUGAGGCUGGGUAACAAAAAUGUGGCACAAACAGAAACCUAAAGCUUAGGUAGUCACACAGCAGCUUCUGCCCAGUAGCCAGAGCAGUAGGGAAUGUCAAGGAGCUGGAAGGCUCCUGUGGAACUGGAAUGUUCUUGUCCUCUGUGUUCAUUUUGCUGAGGAGUCAGUAGGAAACUGGUUGCAAAAAGUCAAUCUUGCCUCAUUUUGGCAGGUACAGGCAUCUCAACUCUUCAAAACAAACUUCUGUUCUCUCUUCGGGAUCUUGGCAGAGGGCUGGCAAGUUUGUUUUUCCCAAAUGGAAGGAGAGGGGACUGAGGAAAUGUCAGCCUGCAAAGGCUGCCUUGCUCUGCCCUGGGAGGUUUAACCUGGGGCCACAUGACAUGGACAACUCAACACUGUUAGACUGUUCCUUCCUCUCUCUGUGCUGCUGCUUCCCUGCCUUGUACAUGGAAUGGGGAGGAGAGAAUCAUUGCAAAAUCAGGGGAUUUGAGAUGUAACUGCAGCCACUCAACAAAGUCGUGCAGCUUCUCAGAGAACUGGAGAUCAAAAGGCCUGGAGUGUUGAUUUCCUCAAAUUCUUCAGCUAUCAAAGAGCCCUUCAGUACAUGUCAUUCUUUUCCACCCAUUAGUUCAUCCAAAUAAGUGGUCAUGCAGCCCUGGAUGUGGAUUUGGGGCUAAAUAUCUUCUCACAUUGAAGUUCUUCUCCAACAAUACGGCCUCGAGCACGUGACAUCUGAUUUGCAAACCAAACCAAACCAAAACUUUUUACCUCUGUAAGAAAAGUCUGAAAUUGCAAUGGAAGCCCUGGGUUAGUCAAGAACCUUGGUGAAGAUAUAGCAGGAGUUGAGAGGUUGACAUGGAAACUCAUGGAAGUGAGAAGGUUUAUGCAGCAGUUUCUGCUUUACUCAGUGCAGGCACCAGGGACAC